AGAUGCAGACUUAGUGGCGGACGGGUGAGUAAUGUAUGAGCAACCUGCCUUCAAGAGGGGGACAACAGUUGGAAACGACUGCUAAUACCGCAUGACACAUAGAGAUCGCAUGGUUUUAUGUCAAAGAUUUAUCGCUGAAAGAUGGCCUCGCGUCUGAUUAGCUAGUUGGUGAGGUAACGGCCCACCAAGGCGACGAUCAGUAGCCGGACUGAGAGGUUGACCGGCCACAUUGGGACUGAGAUACGGCCCAGACUCC
RNAcentral lists this ribosomal RNA (256 nucleotides) under uncultured Oscillibacter sp. Its description in RNAcentral is "partial 16S ribosomal RNA". It matches the Rfam family "Bacterial small subunit ribosomal RNA", at positions 82 to 339 of the family's 1533-position model. The record is from RNAcentral. Lineage: Bacteria; Bacillati; Bacillota; Clostridia; Eubacteriales; Oscillospiraceae.